Molecule: ribosomal RNA, 465 nt
Filed under: uncultured bacterium
Lineage: Bacteria
Description: partial 16S ribosomal RNA
Rfam family: Bacterial small subunit ribosomal RNA
Source: RNAcentral
GACGAACGCUGGCGGCGUGCUUAACACAUGCAAGUCGAACGGAAAGGCCCUGCUUGCAGGGUACUCGAGUGGCGAACGGGUGAGUAACACGUGGGUGAUCUGCCCUGCACUUCGGGAUAAGCCUGGGAAACUGGGUCUAAUACCGGAUAGGAGCCAUUUUUAGUGUGAUGGUUGGAAAGUUUUUUCGGUGUAGGAUGAGCUCGCGGCCUAUCAGCUUGUUGGUGGGGUAAUGGCCUACCAAGGCGGCGACGGGUAGCCGGCCUGAGAGGGGGGACGGCCACAUUGGGACUGAGAGACGGCCCAGACGCCUACGGGAGGCAGCAGUGGGGAAUAUUGCACAAUGGGCGCAAGCCUGAUGCAGCGACGCCGCGUGGGGGAUGACGGCCUUCGGGUUGUAAACUCCUUUCGCUAGGGACGAAGCUUUGUGUGACGGUACCUAGAUAAGAAGCACCGGCUAACUACGUG